Molecule: long non-coding RNA, 1453 nt
Filed under: Marmota monax (woodchuck)
Lineage: Eukaryota; Metazoa; Chordata; Mammalia; Rodentia; Sciuridae
Source: RNAcentral
AUAGUUUCUUCCAGGGCUGGGGAUGUAGCUCAAGCAGUAGCACGCUUGCCUGGCAUGUGCGGGGCGCUGGGUUCGAUCCUCAGCACCACAUAAAUAUAAAAAAUAAAGGUAUUGUGUCCACCGAAAACUAACUAACUAAAUAAAUAAAUAUUAAAAAAAAAUAGUUUCUUCCAAAAAAGCCUGAGCUUCCUUGAGGCCAAAAUCCAUGUUCUUAUCAUUUAUGCAUUACCAUCCUGAUACUUUGGUGCUCAUAAGCAGUAAAUUUAAUAAGUCCUAGGAUGAGGCAGUGAGGCAGGAGGAACUCAGGAGAUGGGGCCAGGAAGCUUCUAGAAGAGAGUUUUGCUUUUUCUUCAUCUAAAAAUCUGGCCUUCUUCCUUUGGAAGUGCUCUUUGUCCUGACAUAGGAAGGAGAUACUUAGCUUCCUCUUUCUUCAGCAACCCUUUUUCUGGCUCUAGCCUGCUCUCCCUCCCCUCCCUCCCAAACACCUCAGCAUCUGCACCCUGCCCAUCUGGUAUCCUUCUGCUGUCUCUUUGAAUCUUCCUUGGAAGUUUUUCAGACGGCUAGUUGUUAUCUUUUCCUAAAGCCUGAAAUUUACAUUUAGCAGUGCCCUGGACAUUGCCUUCUGUGUAAUAGUGUUCAGAAAAAGGUUAAAACCUCUCAAAAAUCACUUCUACACUGUUUCAUGGGACUCUAUGUAUCUUUCUUAAUGGAGCAUGGAUCAAAAGGUAGGAGUAGAAAUAAUCAGUGAGGGGCAUUCACACGUAUGUGUAGGAUACAAGGAAAGUCAUGCUGUACACUUCCUGGGCUGUGUCCCAAGGCUGUGGUCUGAGUAGGAUCCUGGGAGACACUGGAUAAGGACCCGUAUUCCUUUCAUGUGCUUGCCUUUUGGGCUGCUGAUCAUAAGAGGAUUUCAUCAGAGCUUUUCACAGCUUUUGGCAGCAUCAAGAUGGAGUGGGAGAAUGAAUGAAAAGAUGGGUCAGUGAAAUUAAGGAGAAUCAAGGGAAUCAUGAACACUCAGAAAAACUAGAAUAUGAAAGAACAUAGGAUAGCAAAGAAACUCUGGGUAUGGAGGAAACAUGAGUCAUAUUAAAUUUAAUCAAAUUCUCAAAGGAAGAAAAUAUAAACCUUAAUUAAUAACAUACUAAAAGGGCCCUGGAUAAAGUUGAUUCCCCAAGGAACUGCUAUUCUGGUAUUUUAUUUAUAAGAGUUUUGACCAAAUGUUCUGGACAACUUUAAGAUUUUAUACCAAUUUUAUUAGAAAUUCUCACUUAUAAGUAUUUUGAAGUUGUAUGCUUUUAGAAAUUUUCCAGUAGUCUGGUACCUCCCAAGUUCUUCAUGACAAAUUUAAGUGUAAUGAUUUGAUGGACAUGCUGUCCAGUUAUCUUAACAAUCUCGAAUGUGCAGGAUUUGUGGUACGGGGUUGCACUGAUUUUUUUGACUUGUGUGUUUAAAC